Molecule: ribosomal RNA, 440 nt
Filed under: uncultured bacterium
Lineage: Bacteria
Description: bacterial SSU rRNA
Rfam family: Bacterial small subunit ribosomal RNA
Source: RNAcentral
CCUACGGGAGGCAGCAGUAGGGAAUAUUGGGCAAUGGAGGCAACUCUGACCCAGCCAUGCCGCGUGUAGGAAGAAGGCUUUCUGAGUUGUAAACUACUUUUGAUCGGGAACAAAGAGCCCUUGCGAGGGAAGUUGAGUGUACCGAUAGAAUAAGCACCGGCUAACUCCGUGCCAGCAGCCGCGGUAAUACGGAGGGUGCAAGCGUUGUCCGGAUUUAUUGGGUUUAAAGGGUGCGUAGGCGGUCUUUUAAGUCAGUGGUGAAAUCCUGCAGCUCAACUGUAGAAUUGCCGUUGAUACUGGAAGACUUGAGUACAGACGAGGUAGGCGGAAUUUAUGGUGUAGCGGUGAAAUGCAUAGAUACCAUAAAGAACACCUAUUGCGAAGGCAGCUUACUAGGCUGUAACUGACGCUGAGGCACGAAAGCGUGGGGAUCAAACAGG